RNAcentral lists this ribosomal RNA (430 nucleotides) under Bacillus cereus. RNAcentral describes it as "bacterial SSU rRNA". It matches the Rfam family "Bacterial small subunit ribosomal RNA", at positions 62 to 484 of the family's 1533-position model. The record is from RNAcentral. Lineage: Bacteria; Bacillati; Bacillota; Bacilli; Caryophanales; Bacillaceae.
AGAGCUGUGCUCCUCUCAUGAAGUUAGCGGCGGACGGGUGAGUAACACGUGGGUAACCUGCCCAUAAGACUGGGAUAACUCCGGGAAACCGGGGCUAAUACCGGAUAACAUUUUGAACCGCAUGGUUCGAAAUUGAAAGGCGGCUUCGGCUGUCACUUAUGGAUGGACCCGCGUCGCAUUAGCUAGUUGGUGAGGUAACGGCUCACCAAGGCAACGAUGCAUAGCCGACCUGAGAGGGUGAUCGGCCACACUGGGACUGAGACACGGCCCAGACUCCUACGGGAGGCAGCAGUAGGGAAUCUUCCGCAAUGGACGAAAGUCUGACGGAGCAACGCCGCGUGAGUGAUGAAGGCUUUCGGGUCGUAAAACUCUGUUGUUAGGGAAGAACAAGUGCUAGUUGAAUAAUCUGGCACCUUGACGGUACCUAACC